CACACUCGCGCCCUGUCACCCUCUUGCACCCUUCAUCUAUUCUAGCUUCCUGACUUGGCCGUUGGAGGAUCUUCGCCGGAGCCUACUCUGGCCAAGACUUAUUUUUCAUGUCUCGCCGCAUCUACAAUUCCCAGUCGACUCCAGCCACUCCGAUCGAAGCCAGAAAUCUGCAACAAUAGUUGUUAGUAUAUGUAUUAUUAAAUAGUAGAAAGAUAACUUACUUAGGGUUAUUUUUAAAAUUGAAAAAAAUGAAAAAACUAAAACAUUUUUAUAUAGUCUAAGGAUGAGAAUAUCCACAUACACAAAAAUGACAAAUGGAGGUUAUAUAUUAGCGGUGGCAAGUGGUCAUAUAUUGGUUGAGUCAAUCAAUACUCAUACCUAUCCUGCUAGAAAAAAAAUAUAUGUAUAUCUGCCUAGUACCCAUCAAGUCUUGGAUCAGAUCGGAUAUAUCUGAAUUAGUCUCUUUCUCCAUUUCCUAUCUCCACCACCACCCCACCACCAUCCGUUGUUCCAUCCCCAAACCCACAAAAUAUCAUACCUCCACCAAGAUUAAGCUCUCAAAAGCUCAAGGGACCAACUCACACCGCCACAACUCGCAUAAAAUCCCAUAUGCUCCAGAAAAAAACCCCAAUCGGAAUCUAAAAUCUCCUCUGAUCUCCCUCAGGUGCUUUCCUUCCCCAUAGAUCUCUGAAAAAGAGAAUGAAAUUAAAAGAAA
This 715-nucleotide long non-coding RNA is filed under the name Elaeis guineensis (African oil palm). RNAcentral describes it as "long non-coding RNA (EGUI_LNC008309)". Lineage: Eukaryota; Viridiplantae; Streptophyta; Magnoliopsida; Arecales; Arecaceae. The record is from RNAcentral.